AACGAACGCUGGCGGCAUGCCUAACACAUGCAAGUCGAACGAAGGCUUCGGCCUUAGUGGCGCACGGGUGCGUAACGCGUGGGAAUCUGCCCUUUGGUUCGGAAUAACAGCUGGAAACGGCUGCUAAUACCGGAUGAUGACGAAAGUCCAAAGAUUUAUCGCCAGAGGAUGAGCCCGCGUUGGAUUAGGUAGUUGGUGGGGUAAAGGCCUACCAAGCCGACGAUCCAUAGCUGGUCUGAGAGGAUGAUCAGCCACACUGGGACUGAGACACGGCCCAGACUCCUACGGGAGGCAGCAGUGGGGAAUAUUGGACAAUGGGCGCAAGCCUGAUCCAGCAAUGCCGCGUGAGUGAUGAAGGCCCUAGGGUUGUAAAGCUCUUUUACCCAGGAAGAUAAUGACUGUACCGGGAGAAUAAGCCCCGGCUAACUCCGUG
This 433-nucleotide ribosomal RNA is filed under the name uncultured bacterium. Its description in RNAcentral is "partial 16S ribosomal RNA". It matches the Rfam family "Bacterial small subunit ribosomal RNA", at positions 29 to 507 of the family's 1533-position model. The record is from RNAcentral.